GGAUUCAUGAUGACACACCAAAAACAUUCCUUGGAAAAGCUGAAGAAAUGAGUGAAAACUCCAAACUGUUGUUGUCUUCGCUUCUGCAUUCC
Octodon degus (degu) is the source of this 92-nucleotide small nucleolar RNA. Its record names the gene SNORD116. It matches the Rfam family "Small nucleolar RNA SNORD116". From Rfam's summary of the family: HBII-85 is a member of the C/D class of snoRNAs, which contain the C (UGAUGA) and D (CUGA) box motifs. HBII-85 is encoded in a tandemly repeated array with another C/D snoRNA, HBII-52, in the Prader-Willi syndrome (PWS) region of chromosome 15. NCBI's taxonomy places the organism in Eukaryota, Metazoa, Chordata, Mammalia, Rodentia, Octodontidae. The record is from Ensembl.